UACGUAGGGUGCAAGCGUUAAUCGGAAUUACUGGGCGUAAAGCGUGCGCAGGCGGUUUUGUAAGACUGUCGUGAAAUCCCCGGGCUUAACCUGGGAAUUGCGAUGGUGACUGCAAGGCUAGAGUUUGGCAGAGGGGGGUAGAAUUCCACGUGUAGCAGUGAAAUGCGUAGAGAUGUGGAGGAACACCGAUGGCGAAGGCAGCCCCCUGGGUCAAAACUGACGCUCAUGCACGAAAGCGUGGGAAGCAAACAGG
RNAcentral lists this ribosomal RNA (253 nucleotides) under uncultured bacterium. Its description in RNAcentral is "partial 16S ribosomal RNA". It matches the Rfam family "Bacterial small subunit ribosomal RNA", at positions 524 to 776 of the family's 1533-position model. The record is from RNAcentral.